Molecule: small nuclear RNA, 101 nt
Organism: Gorilla gorilla gorilla (western lowland gorilla)
Lineage: Eukaryota; Metazoa; Chordata; Mammalia; Primates; Hominidae
Source: Ensembl
ACACUUCACCAAUGUGUUUGUCAAAACUGGAGCGAUGCAGAGAAGAUGGCAAGGUCCCUGUGCUAGGAUGCAUGCAAAUCCAUAAAGGGAUAUAAAUACAC